RNAcentral lists this ribosomal RNA (776 nucleotides) under uncultured Neocallimastigales. RNAcentral's name for it is "partial large subunit ribosomal RNA". It matches the Rfam family "Eukaryotic large subunit ribosomal RNA", at positions 23 to 616 of the family's 3401-position model. The record is from RNAcentral. Lineage: Eukaryota; Fungi; Neocallimastigomycota; Neocallimastigomycetes; Neocallimastigales.
AGAGAGAGACAUGCGUGCAUAUCAAUAAGCGGAGGAAAAGAAACUAACAAGGAUUCCCCUAGUAACGGCGAGUGAAGCGGGAAGAGCUCAAAUUUGAAAUCUUAAAGGGUUUCCCUUUACGAAUUGUAGUUUAAAGAAGUGUUUUCUGUUGAGAUUUUUGUAAAAGUUCUUUGGAAUAGGACAUCAUAGAGGGUGAGAAUCCCGUAUUUGACCUUUACUUUCAACUUUGUGAUGACACUUUCAAAGAGUCGGAUUGUUUGGGAAUGCAGUCCAAAAUGGGUAGAUAAAUUUCAUCUAAAGCUAAAUAUUGGCGAGAGACCGAUAGCGAACAAGUACCGUGAGGGAAAGAUGAAAAGAACUUUGAAAAGAGAGUUAAACAGUACGUGAAAUUGUCAAAAGGGAAGCGUUUGACACCAGUGUUGUUUUUCUGAAAAUCAAUUAAAGGACUGUUUAUGCUAAGUUGUUUAGACUUUAUCAGCUAACUGUUUAGUUUUGAGCUUUUCUUUAAUGCACUUUUCAGUUAACAAGUCAACAUCAAUUUCUUUUGCUGUAAAAAAGCUUGAGGAAGGUGGCUUGAGAUUCGUCUUAAGUGUUUAUAGCCUCUUGCCUAUGCAGUCGGAGAGAUUGAGGUCUGCAGCGUAGAUCCUUCGGGGCUAAAUGCAUUUGUGCUAAGUUAUAGCAUUUUAUAGACAACUUGUUGACUAUGAUUUGUCUUGUAGCUUACUCGCUUAUGUUAUUUUACCUACGCUUAGGAUGUUGAGCGCAUGUCUCUCUCU